UGAAGAAAGGAGAGAGUUACAGAGACAAAAUGAAGAUGAGGAGAUUUCAGGCAAGAGCAUUGCUACAUGAUACAGUAUGUGAAAAAUCUAAACACAGGCAGCUUCAAGAUUAGAUACAACAAGAGUUUUGGAUGGGAGAAAUAUUAAAACUUUUUACCGGUUUAAGGAAAGGCGAGAGAUAGUGUUCGAAUCAGUGACUUGUCUUGCCCACAUUUGAGUUUGAUUGUAUCUUAUGCGGUUUUGUCAUAUACUUUGAUAUGAGUAGCUUUUCUUUCUUUUAAUUGAUGAGAAAAAAAUCCGUAACUCCCAAUACCAAAGCAACUCUAAUUCAAGCUGCUGGAACUGAAAACAAAUGAAAA
RNAcentral lists this long non-coding RNA (359 nucleotides) under Capsella grandiflora. Its description in RNAcentral is "long non-coding RNA (CGRA_LNC000628)". The record is from RNAcentral. Lineage: Eukaryota; Viridiplantae; Streptophyta; Magnoliopsida; Brassicales; Brassicaceae.